CCGUCCGAGUUGUAACCUGGAGGAGCGCUUUCCGCGCCGGACCGUGUACAAGUCUCCUGGAACGGAGCGUCAUAGAGGGUGAGAAUCCCGUCCAUGACACGGACGCCCGGUGCUUUGUGAUUGCGCCCCCGAAGAGUCGCGUUGUUUGGGAAUGCAGCGCAAAAUGGGUGGUAAAUUCCAUCUAAAGCUAAAUAUUGGCGAGAGACCGAUAGCGAACAAGUACCGUGAGGGAAAGAUGAAAAGCACUUUGGAAAGAGAGUUAAACAGUACGUGAAAUUGUUGAAAGGGAAACGCUUGAAGUCAGUCGCGUCGCACGGAACUCAGCCUGGCCUCGGCCUGGUGUACUUUCCGUGCGACGGGUCAACAUCAAUUUCGGGCGGCGGACAAGGGCGAGGGGAAUGUAGCGUCGCUUCGGCGGCGUGUUAUAGCCCCUUGUCGUAUACGCCGUGCGGGAUUGAGGACCGCAGCGCGCCCUUGUGGCCGGGGUUCGCCCACGUCACGCGCUUAGGAUGUUGGCAUAAUGGCUUUAAGCGACCCGUCUUGAAACACGGACCAAGGAGUCUAACAUGCUUGCGAGUGUUCGGGUGGAAAACCCUUGCGCGGAAUGAAAGUGAAAGUUGGGAGCCUCCGCGAGGGGGUGCACCGACGCCCGGCCCUGAAGUUCUCUGACGGUGCUGCGGUAGAGCAGGUGUGUUGGGACCCGAAAGAUGGUGAACUAUGCCUGAAUAGGGCGAAGCCAGAGGAAACUCUGGUGGAGGCUCGUAGCGAUUUGGACGUGCAAAUCGAUCGUCAAAUUUGGGUAUAGGGGCGAAAGAUUAAUCGAACCAUCUAGUAGCUGGUUCCUGCCUAAAGUUUCCCUCAAGAUAGCAYAAGACUCGUAUCAAGAUUUUGAGUGGUAAARCWAAAUGAUUGGAAGGSCUUGGGGGUUAACA
This 932-nucleotide ribosomal RNA is filed under the name Fomitiporella sp. Y3. Its description in RNAcentral is "eukaryotic LSU rRNA". It matches the Rfam family "Eukaryotic large subunit ribosomal RNA", at positions 134 to 1042 of the family's 3401-position model. Lineage: Eukaryota; Fungi; Basidiomycota; Agaricomycetes; Hymenochaetales; Hymenochaetaceae. The record is from RNAcentral.